CCCCAGGGCCAGCCCCUUGCUUCCGGCACGGGAGGCGCCACCGCAAGCCAUGGAUGACAAGGAGCGGACUCCGGCGAGUCAUGAAUCAAGGAGCAGGCGCAAGGUGGUGGCAAAGAGGAUCCUGCUGUCCUCAUCAAAGGAGCGGGGCAGCGGCCAUUCCGGCCAAGCAUCGCGAGAUUCAAGCCCUUGCGUGGCAUCCAUGUCUGUGCAUAAGGAAUUGGAGGGUGUGGAGGAAGAGGGGGAUGAACUAGACAACAGCUUUGACCAUAAUGAUGAUUUAUCAGUAAGCCUACCAUCAGCAAGUGAGGGGGAGGACGUAGUUGAGGUGUCAUCAGAUGGGGUUUCUAUGCCUUAUAAAGAAAAGAGAGGACGCAAAAGGCUACUAAAAUUGAGGUACACUGAACCUUGAUCCAGAUCAGAGUGGGUCUCUUGUUGUUAAUCCUACUGAAUAUGAUCAUGAUCACACUCGUCGUUUAAUUGCUAAGACGAUAAUUGUCCACGAGUACUCAUUUAGGAUGUAGAGCAUAAAUGGUUUAAUGUGUUGACGAAGUGGCCGAAUAGCAACUAUGAUUGGAUUGAUAGGAAGACAAUAAAAAACUGAGUGCAUGAAAGUUUAUGAAUCUGAAAAAGACAAUCUCAAGAAGAGUCUCAGAGAGGCUGAAUCGAUAAGUCUAACUACUGAUUUAUGGACAUCAAAUCAAAACAUUCAGUAUAUGUAUUCAGUAUAUGUGUAGACCAGGGUAGGCACGGUUGAGAUAGGAGUGGAUCGGGAGAACUUGGGUCCGUUUGGCAGCGCUGCCGCCGCUCCGCUCCGUGCAAGAUUCCGCGGAGCGCUGCCAAACGGGAAAAACAGCACCGGCUCCUCCCUCGAAUCACCGUCAAUUGAUUCGCCCGGUGACCCAUCGAGCGGGGAGCGAAAAAAAUCUGCUCCCCGCCGAUUCCCUUCACUUCCGCCCCCCGGCCUGCAGUACCGCCGCUCGUUCCUCACCAGCCCGCCCGGCGGCCGCUCGUCCCAGCCGACCCCGCGCGCGCAGGCCUGUCGCACCGGCGGCCGCUCGUCCCAGUAUACCCCGCUCGCGCAGGCCCGCAGCACCGGCGGCCGCUCGUCCCCGACCAGCACGCCCGGCGGGUGGACGAGCAGCGCCCGGUGGAUCUCGAUUCGCGAUGCUGAAGUUUGAUUCGCGGUCGGACGGCGUAUGGAGCUCGAUUCAUGGUGCUGGUGGAUCUUGAUUUGCGGCGCUAGGUGUCGAUUCGCGGCGCGGAGCUCGAUCGCAACGCUGCACGGACGCUGGCGCUUGCCACCAUCGUCGCCCGAAGCGGGAGCGUGUGUGGAGCGCCACCAAACGAGUUUUUUUCAGAACUGGAGCAGCCGCGAGCGGGAGCGCGUGGAAGCGAGGAGCAGAGCAGAGUGAAUCGAGUUUGGAGUGCUGCUAAACGGGCCCUUAUUGUAGCGACUAUGUUGAAGUCUAGUUAUUUGUGUGUCUUGACUUUUUAGACAUUUUGCCAUA
Long non-coding RNA from Panicum hallii, 1508 nucleotides. RefSeq lists it as uncharacterized. The record is from RefSeq and is a predicted model, not a curated record. NCBI's taxonomy places the organism in Eukaryota, Viridiplantae, Streptophyta, Magnoliopsida, Poales, Poaceae. The transcript has 2 exons.